RNAcentral lists this ribosomal RNA (847 nucleotides) under uncultured archaeon. RNAcentral describes it as "bacterial SSU rRNA". It matches the Rfam family "Archaeal small subunit ribosomal RNA", at positions 21 to 873 of the family's 1478-position model. The record is from RNAcentral.
ACCUGACUGCUAUCGGAUUGAUACUAAGCCAUGCGAGUCAUUGUAGUAAUACAAGGCAUACGGCUCACUAACGCGUAAUCAACCUAACCUAUGGACGGGAAUAACCUCGGGAAACUGAAAAUAAUGCCCGAUAGAACAUUAUGCCUGGAAUGGUUUAUGUUCCAAAUGAUUUAUCGCCGUAGGAUGGGACUGCGGCCUAUCAGUUUGUUGGUGAGGUAAUGGCCCACCAAGACUAUUACAGGUACGGGCUCUGAGAGGAGUAGCCCGGAGAUGGGUACUGAGACACGGACCCAGGCCCUAUGGGGCGCACCACGCAAGAAAACUUUGCAAUGUGCGAAAGCACGACUAGGUUAAUCCGAGUGGUUUCUGCUAAAGAAACCUUUUGUCAGUCCUAGAAACACUGAUGAAUAAGGGGUGGGCAAGUUCUGGUGUCAGCCGCCGCGGUAAAACCAGCACCUCAAGUGGUCAGGAUGAUUAUUGGGCCUAAAGCAUCCGUAUCCGGCUCUGUAAGUUUUCGGUUAAAUCUGUACGCUCAACGUACAAGCUGCCGGGAAUACUGCAGAGCUAGGGAGUGGGAGAGGUAGACUGUACUCGGUGGGAAGGGGUAAAAUCCUUUGGAUCUAUUGAUGACCACCUGUGGCGAAGGCGGUCUACCACAACACGUCCGACGGUGAGGGAUGAAAGCUGGGGGAGCAAACCGGAUUAGAUACCCGGGUAGUCCCAGCUGUAAACUAUGCAAACUCAGUGAUGCAUUGGCUUGUGGCCAAUGCAGUGCUGUCGGGAAGCCGUUAAGUUUGCCGCCUGGUAAGUACGUACGCAAGUAUGAAUGUAAACGGAAUUGGCGAGG